GAGCAGCGACUCUGGUGAGUGUCGUCCUGCGUGGUUUGACUCUUUUGCUUGUGAUGGUCGUCAUCGGUCUGGUUGUUAAAGACAGGACAUUUCAGACAGCUGCUGAAGAAAGACAGAAUCCAGGACACUGUGAGAAUGAGGCCUCUGAUGAUCUGAACUAUGAAGAAGUUGUAGAGUUGACCUGAAGCCGUAAGAAGAGAGCCAGAGCCAGAUGUUAUUCAUGUUGCUUCCAGAUGGAGUGAGGAGGAGACUGGACAUGAUCUUGUAUCAAACAGUAUUACAAUGCUUUGUACUUUUGUUUAACAACUUUCUAACUUACUAUCAAUAAGAAGUUAUAAUGGAGAAGUAU
This is a long non-coding RNA of Labrus bergylta (ballan wrasse), 349 nucleotides long. RefSeq lists it as uncharacterized. The record is from RefSeq and is a predicted model, not a curated record. Lineage: Eukaryota; Metazoa; Chordata; Actinopteri; Labriformes; Labridae.